This 253-nucleotide ribosomal RNA is filed under the name uncultured bacterium. Its description in RNAcentral is "partial 16S ribosomal RNA". It matches the Rfam family "Bacterial small subunit ribosomal RNA", at positions 524 to 776 of the family's 1533-position model. The record is from RNAcentral.
UACGAAGGGGGCUAGCGUUGCUCGGAAUCACUGGGCGUAAAGGGCGCGUAGGCGGACAAGUAAGUCGGGCGUGAAAUCCCUAGGCUCAACCUAGGAACUGCACUCGAAACUGCAUGUCUUGAGUACCGGAGAGGAAAGCGGAAUACCUGGUGUAGAGGUGAAAUUCGUAGAUAUCAGGUGGAACACCAGUGGCGAAGGCGGCUUUCUGGACGGUAACUGACGCUGAGGCGCGAAAGCGUGGGGAGCAAACAGG